Molecule: ribosomal RNA, 254 nt
Filed under: uncultured bacterium
Lineage: Bacteria
Description: partial 16S ribosomal RNA
Rfam family: Bacterial small subunit ribosomal RNA
Source: RNAcentral
UACGUAGGGUGCGAGCGUUGUCCGGAAUUAUUGGGCGUAAAGAGCUCGUAGGCGGUCUGUCGCGUCGAUCGUGAAAACUUGGGGCUUAACCCUGAGCUUGCGGUCGAUACGGGCAUGACUGGAGUUCGGCAGGGGAGACUGGAAUUCCUGGUGUAGCGGUGAAAUGCGCAGAUAUCAGGAAGAACACCCGUGGCGAAGGCGGCUCUCUGGAACGCAACUGACGCUGAGACGCGAAAGCGUGGGGAGCAAACAGG